This 411-nucleotide ribosomal RNA is filed under the name uncultured bacterium. Its description in RNAcentral is "bacterial SSU rRNA". It matches the Rfam family "Bacterial small subunit ribosomal RNA", at positions 370 to 772 of the family's 1533-position model. The record is from RNAcentral.
AAUGGGCGAAAGCCUGACGCAGCAACGCCGCGUGAGUGAUGAAGGCCUUCGGGUCGUAAAGCUCUGUCAGAAGGGAAGAAAUGGAAGGGUGUUAAUACCAUCUUUUCUUGACGGUACCUUCAAAGGAAGCACCGGCUAACUCCGUGCCAGCAGCCGCGGUAAUACGGAGGGUGCAAGCGUUAAUCGGAAUUACUGGGCGUAAAGCGCACGUAGGCUGUAGUGUAAGUCAGGGGUGAAAUCCCACGGCUCAACCGUGGAACUGCCUUUGAUACUGCACAACUUGAAUCCGGGAGAGGGUGGCGGAAUUCCAGGUGUAGGAGUGAAAUCCGUAGAUAUCUGGAGGAACAUCAGUGGCGAAGGCGGCCACCUGGACCGGUAUUGACGCUGAGGUGCGAAAGCGUGGGGAGCAAA